This 935-nucleotide long non-coding RNA is filed under the name Homo sapiens (human). Its description in RNAcentral is "HSALNT0337514". The record is from RNAcentral. Lineage: Eukaryota; Metazoa; Chordata; Mammalia; Primates; Hominidae.
AGACCUAGUUUCUCGGCCGCGGGCCCAGCGCCGGGAGCUGGUCCGGGAGGGAGAACGCGCGCCCCGGCCCGGGUUCACUGGCCCCAGCGUGUCGGGGGACUCCACGGUGCGGAAAAGCCCGGGGGUCAGGGGACAGUUGGGCUCGCGGGGACCACAGCACUGGCACCUCCCUGACUCAGAGGACGCCCAGUCAGGUGGGCCCGGAGCACCGGGGGCUCCCGAAGUGGGGCCUGAUGGUGCCCAGGAGCGCUGACCUCAGGAGGCCUGAGUCCGUUUGUCAUUGCCCGGAUAGAAUAUACGCUCUUUCUUUUCACAAAGCCCUCACAGGAAACCUUGUUUAACUCUCCCUCUAACUGCCACCUUUUUACUUUGUUGUGGAAACAAAGAUAUGAAUGUUUAGUGCAAAGCACAAACAUCAUGCCGUUAAUACACUUCCAGACAGAAUCAUUACAAGAAAAUGAUCUCAGUGUUCAUGAUUUUAGCUGUUGUUAUUUAGGGAAUAUGAUUAAUUUGGUUUAAAAGAAUACUAAUGAUCUUGUGAAUUUGAAGACAGUGUCAAAGCCCUGGAUUUAUUAUACUGAAAUUAUUAGAUGGACUUUUACUGUUUUUAUAAUAAUAUUAUUUUGCUAGAGGUAGACGUAAAAAGUUGAACACAAGCAAGUUAACCCAAGCUGUUAAAUUUAAAAAAAGUUUAAAUUUGCAUGAAUCAUCUUUAGAACUAUAUUUAAGAAUCGAUGUUUAGUACUAAUAAUCUAUAAUUUAGUAACUUGAAUCUUACGUGUCUUCCAUACUUGCAGGUAUGAUAAAGAAGAGUCGUAUCAGCUGAGCAGUCGUGAUUGUGAUUACGUCCCUGGUUGACUCAUGAAUAGGCUUUGUAAUGGAUCUUUGAUGCUACAUUUGAGCCUUUCUGGACAUCGGGAUUAUGGAUUAAAAGC